CCUACGGGAGGCAGCAGUGGGGAAUAUUGCACAAUGGGGGGAACUCUGAUGCAGCGAUGCCGCGUGCGGGAAGAAGUCUCUCUGUAUGUAAAGCUCUAUCAGUAGGGAAGAAAACGACGGUACCCGUCUAAGACUCCCCGGCUAACUACGUUCCAGCAGCCGCGGUACUACGGAGGGGGCAAGCGUUAUCCGGAUUUACUGGGUGUAAAGGGAGCGUAGGCGGUUAUGCAAGUCUGAAGUGAAAGCCCAAGGCUCAACCAUGGGACUGCUUUGGAAACUGUAAAACUGGAGUGCAGGAGAGGUAAGCGGAAUUCCUGGUGUAGCGGUGAAAUGCGUAGAUAUUAGGCAGAACACCAGUGGCGAAGGCAGCUUAC
RNAcentral lists this ribosomal RNA (374 nucleotides) under uncultured bacterium. RNAcentral's name for it is "partial 16S ribosomal RNA". It matches the Rfam family "Bacterial small subunit ribosomal RNA", at positions 338 to 729 of the family's 1533-position model. The record is from RNAcentral.